AUACGGAGGGUGCGAGCGUUAAUCGGAAUUACUGGGCGUAAAGCGUACGUAGGCGGUUUGUUAAGUUAGAUGUGAAAGCCCUGGGCUUAACCUGGGAACUGCAUUUAAAACUGGCAGACUAGAGUUUGAUAGAGGAGAGUGGAAUUUCAGGUGUAGCGGUGAAAUGCGUAGAGAUCUGAAGGAACAUCAGUGGCGAAGGCGUCUCUCUGGAUUAAAACUGACGCUGAGGUACGAAAGCGUGGGUAGCAAACAGGAUUAGAAACCCUAGUAGUCC
RNAcentral lists this ribosomal RNA (274 nucleotides) under uncultured bacterium. RNAcentral's name for it is "partial 16S ribosomal RNA". It matches the Rfam family "Bacterial small subunit ribosomal RNA", at positions 523 to 796 of the family's 1533-position model. The record is from RNAcentral.